GGAUAUGAGGGUGAUCCGGCUGUGGUAUUUGUUACCCCACUGAUCGUCAGGGAUUCGGCUGAUCUGGCUGGCUAAGUGGGUGUCCCCUUCCUCCCUCACAGCUCCAUGGACGUCCCUCCUGAAGCUAAGUGCUGGUUGAAGAGGAUGACCUUCCCUGAAUAGAGGACUGGUCUUUGGUCAAGGGUAUACAAACAGCUGCGCUCCCCUGGUAGAACCUCCAAACAAGCUAUCAAGACUAAAACAAUCCAAGACUGUCAAAACUGGUGCUAAGGAAUGCAAGGAGUAAUUAUUCAGUUCUCUCUCUUAGGAGUAUUUGAAAUUUUUCCAUAA
This 330-nucleotide small nuclear RNA is filed under the name Jaculus jaculus (lesser Egyptian jerboa). Its description in RNAcentral is "7SK RNA (ENSJJAG00000001374.1)". It matches the Rfam family "7SK RNA". Rfam says of the family: 7SK was discovered as an abundant small nuclear RNA in the mid-70s but a possible function has only recently been suggested. Lineage: Eukaryota; Metazoa; Chordata; Mammalia; Rodentia; Dipodidae. The record is from RNAcentral.